GCCCGGGUGGCGGAAUCUGGUAGACGCAGCGGCCUCAAAAGCCGCCGGCCUCACGGUCAUGCGGGUUCGAGUCCCGCCCCGGGUA
RNAcentral lists this transfer RNA (85 nucleotides) under uncultured Solirubrobacteraceae bacterium. RNAcentral describes it as "tRNA-Leu-CAA". It matches the Rfam family "tRNA". Rfam says of the family: Transfer RNA (tRNA) molecules are approximately 80 nucleotides in length. Their secondary structure includes four short double-helical elements and three loops (D, anti-codon, and T loops). The record is from RNAcentral. Lineage: Bacteria; Bacillati; Actinomycetota; Thermoleophilia; Solirubrobacterales; Solirubrobacteraceae. RNAcentral also lists the same sequence under 1 other name.